RNAcentral lists this ribosomal RNA (253 nucleotides) under uncultured bacterium. Its description in RNAcentral is "partial 16S ribosomal RNA". It matches the Rfam family "Bacterial small subunit ribosomal RNA", at positions 524 to 776 of the family's 1533-position model. The record is from RNAcentral.
UACGUAGGGUGCAAGCGUUAAUCGGAAUUACUGGGCGUAAAGCGUGCGCAGGCGGCCAUGCAAGACAGAUGUGAAAUCCCUGGGCUCAACCCAGGAACUGCGUCCGAUACUGGCAGGCUUGAAUUCGGGAGAGGGAUGCGGAAUUCCAGGUGUAGCGGUGAAAUGCGUAGAUAUCUGGAGGAACACCGGUGGCGAAGGCGGCAUCCUGGACCGAUAUUGACGCUGAGGCGCGAAAGCCAGGGGAGCAAACGGG